This 331-nucleotide long non-coding RNA is filed under the name Elaeis guineensis (African oil palm). Its description in RNAcentral is "long non-coding RNA (EGUI_LNC037464)". The record is from RNAcentral. Lineage: Eukaryota; Viridiplantae; Streptophyta; Magnoliopsida; Arecales; Arecaceae.
GGAAAUGAAUUAGGCUCUUGAUUCAAGUCCUUGGUGAAUGAUUCAGGUGAGGCAGCAUCAAAGAGACAAAAUAUGGAAAUAAUUGUGGCAUCGGGGGGAGAACAGGUGCAUCCUAUUACACCAUUAGCUAAAGAAAAAUGAAAAAGGUACCCCAUCGAGCCAUGGAAGAGUGCUUCCUCAUCUGGUUCUGACUCUUCUCCAUAAUAAAAGGUAAUUAUUUUGAAGCAGUAUGGCAUAGUAUCAGAUAUGUCCCAAAGCUCAACCAUUGUUAUUGCUCAAAACAGAUAGAAGGUAGUUGUGGCUCAGUAGGCACAAAAGGGUGUUUGGAGAC